Phoenix dactylifera (date palm) is the source of this 2035-nucleotide non-coding RNA. The record is from RefSeq and is a predicted model, not a curated record. NCBI's taxonomy places the organism in Eukaryota, Viridiplantae, Streptophyta, Magnoliopsida, Arecales, Arecaceae.
UCCCACCUCUUCUCCGCUGCUCUCCUCUCUCUCAAAAGGUACGCUUAAUUCCACCUCCUCCUCUCUUUACUCAUUCUCUAUCCUAGAACAACAAUUCCAGCUCUUAGAAUAGUAAUCCCAUCUCCUUUUCUAUUUACUUAUUCCCUCUUUAAACCCAAUCCCCGCAGACAAAACCGUCGUCUCCCUCCGUCCCUCUUUCUCGAUCCAAGAACUAGGGUUUGAGAAUUGGAAAGAGGGAGAGACUCUCGAGCUCACGGACAUAGCGGUUGUUUGACUCUACGCUAGGGUUUUCUCCGCAAUCACGUAAAUCUUAAAAAAAAUUCCUUUUUAAGAUUUUUUUAAAUAUAGAAUUUUGAUUCAGGUGGUUUUCAUCUUCAAAACAGUUUCUUUAGGCCAAGAACAUUAUAAUGAGUUAUUUGCCAUGACUAAGUUUUCAAAAGUUCGGGGCUUUCCUUAUUUUGGAGUUUCUUUGGUCAGGUAUUCUGCUUCAAAGAGUUCAAAACUGGAGAAAAAAGAGUUUUUUUUUUUUUGUGGCUUCCUUAGAAGAACAGAGUUGUGAACAAUGCCGACGGCAAUCCUUCCAGCAACCGUUGCAAUCCCAAGGCUGGCCGAUAGGUCGAUGUCGUCCACUAGAUUUUUGUCCGGUACCGAGCAAUCCAGCUUCUGUUCCUUCCCUGUCAAGCCUGCCAGCCCCUUCUCGAGCCUCAUUAUUCGGAUGGGCGGUGGCCCGCGGACGUACCCAGGCGGUGUGUCCAAGUGGCAGUGGAAGCGGAUGCAGGCGAAGAAGGCAAAGCAGCUUCUGAAGGCCCGGCUAUGCCGUGAACGCCAGCUGUAUGAGAUGAGGAAGCGCGCAGAGCUUAAGGCUGCCAUCUCGGAGCUUGAGCGGCCAUGGGAGGUUGUGGAGAGGGCGCCUCAGCUCUUCUCAGUGAGCGCCGAUGAGCAGGUGAAGGCGUUGGCUGACCGGUUCCAGCGGGCUGGUGGAUUUGAUAUGUGGAAUGAGAAGGAUGGCCCCCAGAUAUUUCAGGCACCCGAUGGGUUACCAUCCGCAAGGUUAUUCCCGAAGGGAGUGGUUCACAGUGUGAAGCCUUAUGGGAUUGUCUCAGGCUCGAAGGAAUCAUUGGGAGAAGAUGGCUCAAAAGGUGGAGAGGAGCUAAGGUUUGAUGAUUGGGUUGCAAGAGGAGGGGGUGGUGUCAGUAGGAGGAGAUCGAGGAGGUCUUCUAAUCGUAAAGGUGGAGCUGGGACAGAGACUAUUGAUGUUGAGGCCAGGGAGCUGGAUGGAGGAAGUAGUCAAGUUGCUGAGAAUAUGCAUCCAAGCUCAGGGAAUUCAACUUUUGCAAGAAAAUUUGGACGUGAGGAUAGCAGUGCAGUGGCGGAUCAGAGGGUCUUGAAGGAGAAUGUUCUUAAGGGUUCUCUUGAAGAUAAAGAUGCUAAUAUUGAGCCAGAUGGUAUCUUGAUAAGGCAUAGCAAUAGGAGGCAGCAUGGAAUUGAGGCUACUGACAAAGGAGAAAGUGGUAAGAUGAUGGGUAUUGGAAGGAAUACUAGCAGCAAUAGAAGGUUCAAGGGAGGGAGAAUUUCCUUGCGACCAACCACAGAUUUAUAUUCUGAAGAUGAUAGCUACCGAAUGAGAGAUUCAAAGUACCAGAGGUAAUGGUGUUCAGAGAAGUAUAUAACUGAAGAAAGCCUGAUAGUUGAUUUCUUGUUUUGAGAAGCUGAAUCCUGAAUUUUGUAGCAGAAAGUGAAGUCCUUUAUGGGGAACUUAGAAAGGAUAUUAUUAUGAAGCAAUGACUUUUGCUUCCCCUCCUUUGGAGUACAGAUUGAAUCAAGAGCAUUUCAUGGGACUAAGGAAAAUUUUGUGGCUGACCAGUGCCCAUAGCGUAUUUCUUUCCUCCUCAUUCUGGUUGCAAACUUUUCAGAAGAAUUGGUCUUUUAGUAGCUGGGAGAAUGCACACUAAAUACAAUUUCUUUGUAUUAGAAUAUGUAUUUCUUCUUACUUAGUUCAAUAUCUUUAUGCAAUCGCAUGCUGUUUUUUUGUUUA